CCUACGGGAGGCAGCAGUGAGGAAUAUUGGUCAAUGGACGAGAGUCUGAACCAGCCAAGUAGCGUGAAGGAUGACUGCCCUAUGGGUUGUAAGCUUCUUUUAUAAAGGAAUAAAACGAGGCACGUGUGCCUGUUUGCAUGUACUUUAUGAAUAAGGAUCGGCUAACUCCGUUCCAGCAGCCGCGGUAAUACGGAGGAUCCGAGCGUUAUCCGGAUUUAUUGGGUUUAAAGGGAGCGUAGAUGGGUCGUUAAGUCAGUUGUGAAAGGUUGCGGCUCAACCGUAAAAUUGCAAUUGAUACUGGCAGUCGUGAGGACAGUUGAGGUAAGUGGAAUUCGUGGUGUAGCGGUGAAAUGCUUAGAUAUCACGAAGAACCCCGAUUGCGAAGGCAGCUUACUAAACUGUGACUGACAUUGAUGCUCGAAAGUGUGGGGAUCAAACAGGAUUAGAUACCCCAGUAGUC
This 460-nucleotide ribosomal RNA is filed under the name uncultured bacterium. Its description in RNAcentral is "partial 16S ribosomal RNA". It matches the Rfam family "Bacterial small subunit ribosomal RNA", at positions 338 to 795 of the family's 1533-position model. The record is from RNAcentral.